RNAcentral lists this ribosomal RNA (301 nucleotides) under uncultured bacterium. RNAcentral's name for it is "partial 16S ribosomal RNA". It matches the Rfam family "Bacterial small subunit ribosomal RNA", at positions 509 to 807 of the family's 1533-position model. The record is from RNAcentral.
CAGUCGCCACGGUAAUACGAAGGGGGCUAGCGUUGUUCGGAUUAACUGGGCGUAAAGGGUGCGUAGGCGGGGUUUUAAGUCAGGGGUGAAAUGCCGAGGCUCAACUUCGGAACUGCCUUUGAUACUGGAACUCUUGAGUCCGGGAGAGGUGAGUGGAACUGCGAGUGUAGAGGUGAAAUUCGUAGAUAUUCGCAAGAACACCAGUGGCGAAGGCGGCUCGCUGGCCCGGUACUGACGCUGAGGCACGAAAGCGUGGGGAGCAAACAGGAUUAGAUACCCCAGUAGUCCCUGUCUCUUAUAC